Molecule: ribosomal RNA, 482 nt
Filed under: uncultured bacterium
Lineage: Bacteria
Description: partial 16S ribosomal RNA
Rfam family: Bacterial small subunit ribosomal RNA
Source: RNAcentral
AUUGAACGCUGGCGGCAUGCUUUACGCAUGCAAGUCGAACGGUAACAGGCCGCAAGGUGCUGACGAGUGGCGAACGGGUGAGUAAUGCAUCGGAACGUGCCCAGUCGUGGGGGAUAACUACUCGAAAGAGUAGCUAAUACCGCAUACGAUCUAUGGAUGAAAGCGGGGGACCGUAAGGCCUCGCGCGAUUGGAGCGGCCGAUGUCAGAUUAGGUAGUUGGUGGGGUAAAGGCUCACCAAGCCAACGAUCUGUAGCUGGUCUGAGAGGACGACCAGCUACACUGGGACUGAGACACGGCCCAGACUCCUACGGGAGGCAGCAGUGGGGAAUUUUGGACAAUGGGCGCAAGCCUGAUCCAGCAAUGCCGCGUGCAGGAAGAAGGCCUUCGGGUUGUAAACUGCUUUUGUACGGAACGAAACGGCUCUGGUUAAUACCCGGGGCUAAUGACGGUACCGUAAGAAUAAGCACCGGCUAACUACGUG